ACGGAGGGAGCUAGCGUUGUUCGGAAUUACUGGGCGUAAAGCGUACGUAGGCGGUUAUUCAAGUCAGAGGUGAAAUCCCGGGGCUCAACCCCGGAACUGCCUUUGAAACUAGAUAGCUAGAAUCAUGGAGAGGUUAGUGGAAUUCCGAGUGUAGAGGUGAAAUUCGUAGAUAUUCGGAAGAACACCAGUGGCGAAGGCGACUAACUGGACAUGUAUUGACGCUGAGGUACGAAAGCGUGGGGAGCAAACAGG
Molecule: ribosomal RNA, 252 nt
Filed under: uncultured bacterium
Lineage: Bacteria
Description: partial 16S ribosomal RNA
Rfam family: Bacterial small subunit ribosomal RNA
Source: RNAcentral